UGGAGAGGUGUCCGAGUGGUUGAUGGUGACGCACUCGAAAUGCGUUAAGGAUGCAAGUCCUUCGGGGGUUCAAAUCCCCCCUUCUCCGU
RNAcentral lists this transfer RNA (89 nucleotides) under Nostoc sp. PCC 7120 = FACHB-418. RNAcentral's name for it is "Nostoc sp. PCC 7120 tRNA-Ser". It matches the Rfam family "tRNA". Rfam says of the family: Transfer RNA (tRNA) molecules are approximately 80 nucleotides in length. Their secondary structure includes four short double-helical elements and three loops (D, anti-codon, and T loops). Further hydrogen bonds mediate the characteristic L-shaped molecular structure. tRNAs have two regions of fundamental functional importance: the anti-codon, which is responsible for specific mRNA codon recognition, and the 3' end, to which the tRNAs corresponding amino acid is attached (by aminoacyl-tRNA synthetases). tRNAs cope with the degeneracy of the genetic code in two manners: having more than one tRNA (with a specific anti-codon) for a particular amino acid; and 'wobble' base-pairing, i.e. permitting non-standard base-pairing at the 3rd anti-codon position. Lineage: Bacteria; Bacillati; Cyanobacteriota; Cyanophyceae; Nostocales; Nostocaceae. RNAcentral also lists the same sequence under 1 other name. The record is from RNAcentral.